Bubalus bubalis (water buffalo) is the source of this 4876-nucleotide long non-coding RNA. RefSeq lists it as uncharacterized. The transcript is spliced from 3 exons. The record is from RefSeq and is a predicted model, not a curated record. Lineage: Eukaryota; Metazoa; Chordata; Mammalia; Artiodactyla; Bovidae.
GUUGGUGAUGGACAGGGAGGCCUGGCGUGCUGCGAUUCAUGGGGUCGCAAAGAGUCGGACAUGACUGAGUGUCUGAACUGAACUGAACUGAUGGUAGAAUAUAUUGAUUGAUUUUCAAAUACUGACUAGCCUUGCAUAUUUGGAAUAAUCCCAGUUGGUCACUUUGUAUCGUUCUUUCUAUACACUAUUUGAUUUAAUUUACUAAUAUUUUCUGAGGAUUUUGUGUCUAGGUUCAUUAUUUAUAUUGAUCGAUAGUCUUAUAUCACUGUCUUUGUCUAGUUUUGGUUUCAAGAUAGUACUGACAUCAGAAAAUGAGUUGGAAGUGUUUCUUCCUUUUUCAUUAUCUGGAAGAGAUUAUAUAAGAUUAGUUUUAAACUUUUCUCUUGUAAUUUUCUUUGAUCUGAAGUCUACAUUAUUAGCUAUUAAUAGAGUUAUUACUCCUUAUUUUUUAAAAAAAUAAUGUUUAUAUAUUUAUUUCCGUAUUUUUUGCUUUCAACAUGCCUGUGUCAUUACAUAAGAAGAGAGAUUGUUUUGGUAAAAGCAAUGUACAUUUGGAGCAUGUUUAUUUUUCCAGUCUGUUAAUCUGUAUCUUUUGAUUAGUGUAUUUGGACAAUUUGCAUUUAAGGUGGUUUCCCGGUAUGUUAGUGCUUAAAAGGACUGUUUUAUUAUUUGUUUUCUCCAGCUCUUGAUCCUGUAUUUCUUUGCAUUUUUCCUGGUACAUUAGCACUAUUUUAGGAUUCCCAAAGUGAUUUAUCAUUAUUUUAGUGUGUGUCUAAAGGUUUUGUAGUGGCUGCUCUGGGUACCCAGAUAUACAUAUGUGACUUGUAACACUUAACUGGUAUCAAUAUUUUACUGUUUUCAGGAGUGAAAACUUCACAUCCAUUUAGUUGCUUUUUCCUUCCUUGCUUUUAAAUAAUUUGCUCUUAUGAAUUAGAACGUGUUAUGAUUUCUGGUUUAUCAUUGAAUGUAACUGAUAAAACUUGAGAGCAGGAUAGUCUGUUGUGUGUGCCCAUUUCUAAUCUUUCUGUUGCUCCUACUUCCUUCCCAGUUCUUCCUUCUAUCAUUCCCUGUCUGCUUGAAGGAGCUUGUUUAGUAGAUCUGUAAGGGUAGGCCUGUUGUUCAGUUGCUAAGUCAGGUCUGACUGUUUUCGACCCCCUGGACUACUAUUAACUGAUUCAUGAAUGUUUCCCUUUCUGCGAAGUUUGUUUGAACUUGGUACCGUGCUUGCCUGUUUAGCAUCCAGGCUUUUUUCAUAGAGGCAAAAACAUGCUUCUGGGUGGGUGCCUUUACUUUCAUAUUACAGCUCUGUUUUAAUUUAAUGGCCCGACACCCCGGGGCUAUGAUGGUUGUGUUACCUGCACUUCCCAACAAUGUCGAUGUUCAGAGAAGAUUAACUGGAAAUUUGCUGUGAGUUUCAAUCUAUUGUUUCAAAAGAAAUUCAUGUUUACAGCAAAUUGCUUUUAAAAAGUCACUGAUGAAAUUCCUAUUUGCCAUUCAGGGAAAGACCUGAAGAAAAAUUAGUGCAUUGUGUUAAGAAUUACCUUUUGCGGUGUCUACUGAACAGCUGUUAGGAUAGAAUUCAUUUUGCCUCCCCAGUUUUUACUUUAGUAUUAAUUUUCAGUUAUACAAGAGUCUUGAAGCAGAUGAUGCUUUUGGUUAAGCAAUUCAUGGGUCAGUGACCUGUUAAGUAAUUUGUCUCUGAAUCUUCAGUUACUUCAGUAACAUUUCUGCCAAUUCUGAGAAGGCUAUUUAAACCAGUUAGUUUUUCUCUGAACUAUCAGACUUAAAAUUGCAGUAAAUGAAUGUUGCUUUUUACUCAUAUGAAUGGAACCUGCCUUAAAACCCUCAACUGGUAUCCACAAUGUGAUGACCUACGCGCGUGCACAGGACUCCAGACAGUGUCUCUAUAAAUGUGUUUUAUUUUAAAAAAGCUGGAGACUUUUUCACUUAUGCAGUUGUUUCCAUGUUGUUACUGAAAGAAAAUUCAGAGUAAGGCAUUUCUUGAAAAACUAAUGCUGGAACUGUAUUAGUGAUCUAGAUAACUUCCCAAAUAACUCAAAAUGUUUUACAAUAUUUCUUUACCUGACUUUUUUUCCCACUAGAAAAAUCAAGGCCAUUGAUCCUACAGAGAGACACCUCAGAGAUCUCAUGGGUUUGGUUCUAGGCGUCCCAAUGAAGCAAAUACCACGAUACAAUGAGGCACCCACGUGUUUCGGUUUCCCAGUGAAUAUAAAAGUUGUUUAUUCUAUAUUGUAGUCUAUUAAGUGUGCAACACUAGUACAUCUGAAAGAACAAUGUGUGUAGCUUAAUUUAAACAUACCUUCUUGGUAAAAAAUGCUCACCAUGAGCUGACAAUACAGAGUGGCUGUAAAUCUUCAAUUUGGAAAAAACAUAGCAUCUUCCUUCGAGGCACAAAGAAAGUGCACUCGUGGUUCUUUCGUCCAGGUGGGACACGCCCAUAACCUGGACAUUCCAUCCCGGUGGUGCGGACACACCGCGGUGAAUUUCAGAGACACAGGAGAACCAGGAAAAGCGAUUUAGGGCUGGCUGUCUAAUGGUACUGCACGGUGGCUGCUGUGAGAGGCUUAGUCGGCCAGACAAGAGGCCUGAGGUCAGAUUAGAGAUGGAAGACAUGUGUAUUAACUUGGCCUUGAGGCCCCAGACAAUGAGGAAGAGGUCCCAUGGGUCAAUUUCUGGGUGUAUCUCUGUCAAAAGAUAUUUUUCAUGAAAAGGUGAAAGCAAGAUUCUCGUAGUGAUGUAAACAUCAACCCGAGUUGAAGAUUUUGUCUUACUCUUUAACCACUGAGGGAACCAGGCAGGUGUUAAAAAUGGUCCAAAGGAAAGGUGAAAAGCACAAGUUUAUUUGGAGUAAGUUUGUGUAGGCAAAACUGAUUUUUCUGCAGGAACAGUGAACUCUACUGAAAUUCCACAGGACAGCUGCAGUUUGCAUACCCACCCUUCUCCGCAGUUUAUGAAGAGAUGUAAAAUAGCUGGCUGACAGCAAGCCAGGUGAAAAGUCAGGCUGUUUGGAGGGGUGUGCUGUGGACUUGCAGCGUUGUCAUCAAAGAACAUUUUUUCCUCUCGUGUCUGGGUUCAUUCUGCUGGUCUACACUCAACCUGCCCCCCGCCCCCGCUCUGCCCUGCCAAAAAAAAAGUGAAUUGAACCAGAGAAGGGAGCACAAGACAAUCCUUCUGCUCCCUGGGAACAAACCAAAUGAGUGAAUAUACAUAUUACAUUGGAAUGUGAGUUACAGUGGAGUGGGCAUUCCGUUCUCAGUUAUGCCAUUUUAUUGCUCUGCCAGCGAGACUCUUUCAAGCCCAGUGAGUGACUGAAUGAAUCCUGCCUGGUGCAGGAAGAUAGAAUCCGCCAAUCAGAAAGUAACAAAGAAGUAGAUAAAAGAAAGUGAGGGACUGAACUGAAAAGACAGUAACAGAAGUAGAUAAGAGUCACAACGUCACAUCCUGCAGAAGAAGAGUAUGGACCACAGUAUCUUUUCACUCGCCUUCUGAUUGCAGAGUCUUCCUCCCUCCUCUCAGAACAGUGUCCCGCUGGCCCCUGUGGACGGUGGGGGAGGUGGACGCCCGCAGUGGAGGAAGGGACUUCACACCCUGGCUUUGCUGCCAACAAGCCACGAGUCUGGGCAACUGGCGGCUCGCUAAAGGCAGGUCAGACCGGUCAUCUCUGAAAGGGGGCGUGUUCUGCCCCUCUGGUGAGGAUUCAGAAUGUCUUUCCUAAGCACCAGUGAAAACUAAACAAGGCCACAGAUGUAAAGCUUGGACAUGAGAUGCCCGGUAGAUGAUGUCAGGGCCUCCUGGUUGGUGGUGUUACUGGUGACUCAGCGGCUUCCCACAGGGCCUGCGGCCGGGAGGAGAGAGGAUGCUCAUCCCACCCCUCCCACGGGUGCCCCGCUGUACCUGAGCAGGGGACGGGGAAGGGCCCUUGGGGGUCUGUUUGGGACCAUUUACUGGAGGAAGAUGUGGCCCGCCUGUUGGUGACCGAAGCCUUGUAAACACUCCUGCAGCCCGGGAGAUGGGGGAACGUGUGACUCCUGGAGCCUCCCUGUUGUCACGAUGAGAUGACGUGUCGGUUUCAUUUCAGACUCUUCUGAAGGAGACUGAGCCGAACAUUCAGGGCCUGCAGGCUGGUGGAAAGGCAUGAUUUGUUUCCUUAGGAAUUCCUUCUAUAGUACUUGGAGCUUUGUGGAUAAAGCACCAGUCAGAGCCGCCCUGUGGAAAUGGAGUGAAGAGUUGAAAUGUGAUUCCCAACCUGGAGUGGAUGCUCUUUUCACGCUCAGCUAGGUCUCUAACUCCUGAAAUAUUAAUCUGUAAGAGCUGCUGGCAAACCAAUCAUUGGCACAAUUAACAAGCUCCUGGUUGGUCACAUAGCCUUGAGGAAGGGAGGUCCCAGGGGUGGGGGUCAGCUGAGCCACUGGGAAGGUGGCCUCCCCCAGGCCUUGGUCCCACUCUGCCUGGUCUCCAGGAUCAACCCGAGUAUGUUUGCUAAGAUUUCUGAAAGUUGCUCCAGCCGCGAUCACACGUCACGUGUCAGCUCACAUCCGGGCACUCUCUACUCUCUGAGCACAGAACUUCGAGGCUCAGCCUGGUCUCACCAUCCACCCCCUGCGCCUUUCUUCUUUGCAUACAUGUGUCCUUUAUACUCCCUGCUUCUUAUGCACUGGUUUCCAUUUAGGACAUAGGACAAGUACCAUCCAGGGACGUGAAAAAUCCAGCCUGAGGCCCCAAACAGAGUGGGUCCUGCUCUCUGGGCAGAUCCAGAGCCCCUGGAGAUGAAAACCUCGUAAGCCAACUGUGGACUCGGUGCUUUGCUGCAAGAGGAUUCAUUUGAGCUAUAAUAAAAAGUAGUGUGUUUAUUUAA